UAGAACUCCUAAUGUCAAGCUAUCCUA
Molecule: non-coding RNA, 27 nt
Filed under: Homo sapiens (human)
Lineage: Eukaryota; Metazoa; Chordata; Mammalia; Primates; Hominidae
Source: RNAcentral